CACCGUCGGAUAUAAACCCAGGACAUGUGUCCCUCUCUAGAUUCCUCCUCCUCUCCUCAUCCGUACACCCCAACUCCUCCCCUUCUCCCCACGUGAUCUCUGCCACGCGCUCCACUAUCACCGACGAAGCCACCAUCCUCACCGCCUGCGGCACCGCUACCGCCGACGACACCACCGUCCGAUCCUCUUUCACUCCCUCGAAACUCAACCAAACCGGCGCGUUUCUUCCUUCUCUCUUCACACAAUCAGGCAUCUCCGGU
RNAcentral lists this long non-coding RNA (260 nucleotides) under Cucumis sativus (cucumber). Its description in RNAcentral is "long non-coding RNA (CSAT_LNC000082)". The record is from RNAcentral. Lineage: Eukaryota; Viridiplantae; Streptophyta; Magnoliopsida; Cucurbitales; Cucurbitaceae.